CGGUAAUACGUAGGUGGCAAGCGUUAUCCGGAAUUACUGGGCGUAAAGCGCACGCAGGUGGUUGGUUAAGAUUGACGUGAAAGCGCCUGGCUUAACUGGGCGAGGUCGUUGAUGACUGGCCGACUUGAGGCGAGGAGAGGGGUGUAGAAUUCCCGGUGUAGUGGUGGAAUGCGUAGAUAUCGGGAGGAAUACCAGUGGCGAAAGCGGCACCCUGGCCUUGGCCUGACGCUCAGGUGCGAAAGCGUGGGGAGCGAACGGGAUUAGAUACCCCGGUAGUCCACGCUGUAAACGAUGAACACUAGGUGUAGGUGGUGUCAAAGCCAUCGGUACCGAAGCCAACGCGAUAAGUGUUCCGCCUGGGGAGUACGACCGCAAGGUUAAA
This 382-nucleotide ribosomal RNA is filed under the name uncultured bacterium. RNAcentral's name for it is "bacterial SSU rRNA". It matches the Rfam family "Bacterial small subunit ribosomal RNA", at positions 518 to 898 of the family's 1533-position model. The record is from RNAcentral.